RNAcentral lists this small RNA (672 nucleotides) under Pan troglodytes (chimpanzee). RNAcentral describes it as "retained intron". The record is from RNAcentral. Lineage: Eukaryota; Metazoa; Chordata; Mammalia; Primates; Hominidae.
UUCAGGUGUUGAAGCAACUGCAGUCCAUUUGGGAACAGGAGCGAGUGCCCCUUUGGAUCAAGCCAUACAAGAUUCUUGUGAUUUCGGCUGAUAGUGGCAUGAUUGAACCAGUGGUCAAUGCUGUGUCCAUCCAUCAGGUGAAGAAACAGUCACAGCUCUCCUUGCUCGAUUACUUCCUACAAGAGCACGGCAGUUACACCACUGAGGCAUUCCUCAGUGCACAGCGCAAUUUUGUGCAAAGUUGUGCUGGGUACUGCUUGGUCUGCUACCUGCUGCAAGUCAAGGACAGGUAGGUGACUUCUGCUGCUCAUCCUAACAUUUCUCCAGGGUUCUCUCUGUCCCUUCGUGUGUAGUUCUCAAUUACUUAUUACUGCCCUCCAUGGCAAAGAUGUGAAAAAUGAAACAAUGUAUUUUAAGCAGAGACAGAUGUGUUCCCAUGACAUUAAGUCAGGAGGCAGACUAAUAAGAACUAGGGUAAAAGGGCAAAGAAAUGAAGGAUUUAUGGGAGGACUAAGGGUUUGAGUGAGCAGGGUCUUCAAGGACAAGGGAAAAUGAUGACAGAGGAAGCUGCAGGGGAGGUACAUCCCAGCUAGAAGAAAUAAUUGAAUGUGAUUAAAGCACAGACUGCACUGCAUGGCAGUGGAGUAGGAGGUGGUACCAUGAGGCAGGUAA